Cynoglossus semilaevis (tongue sole) is the source of this 4284-nucleotide long non-coding RNA. RefSeq lists it as uncharacterized. NCBI's taxonomy places the organism in Eukaryota, Metazoa, Chordata, Actinopteri, Pleuronectiformes, Cynoglossidae. The record is from RefSeq and is a predicted model, not a curated record. The transcript has 3 exons.
ACAGAGAGUGAUUUGUGAGUGAUUCGUGAGUUCAAUAUGAACAAAUCUUUCAUAUAACUCGGGAGUCGCGAGUCAUAUGAAAGAUUCGUUUAUGUCGAACGAAUCACUCGCAAACGACAAAUCACUACUGUGGAUGGAACACGGCACAUGAGUUGAGUUGAUGUGUGAGACCGGGAUUGUUCUGUUGUUUUGGCGUGGUUACCACCGACAGUAACCAAGUUCUGUAAUCAAACAGAACUCUGUAAUCAAACGUUUAGCAAUAAAUGCAGAAAGUUUUUUUCAAGAUGGCAGCGCUCUGUGCGGCAACUUCGGCUCCCGGCUACACAGCCAAAACAUCGCUAGAUUGAAGAGAACAUUGUUUUCUAUAGUAAAAACUAAGCGAAACUGCGCUAGAAGUAUAUAUGACCGUAAAGUUAUACUAGGUUUAAGCAAGUUCGGACAGUUGGACUACGUAAAGUUAGAGACGCGGAGCACUCUACAGAGCCUUGGUCUUCUACGGCGGUCAGACCCAGCGGCCUACACAACAGCGGAGUCCCCUACCAGCACAUGGCCGUCCACGGAGUCACCGGUGGCUCUUCCCUCCAUUCUGCUUGCCAACGUACGUUCCAUAGAAUACCAACUGGAUUACCUUAAAAUGGACUUAACACUGGACUUGGUCUACAUCAACAUCAAGAAGGCCUUCAGAGCAGCCCCCCGCCCCCACCUUGGCUCCUCAGACCAUCUCUCUGUUAUGAUAAUUCCAGCAUACCAGCCCCUGCUCAUCGGAGAAAAGUCUGCUGUGAAGAAGGAAGAGUUGUCCUGGCCAAGAGAACGAUGGAGGCAGCCAAUCCAUCAGAAUAUAAAUACAUGGAAAACAGUAUACCCAUAGAUUGGGACGCUUGGAUCCGAGACAGGAGGAAGGAACCCCCCACCAUCGAGGUACGUUUCCCUCCCUCCCCCCAGCCUCCCUGCUGUGCUGAUGGUUGGACUCCAGGGGACUGGUUACACAGGAGGAAAAGAAGCAAAGAUGGAAAAAAGUGACUGUUUGAUUUGUUUUAUCUCACAGUUUGGAACUGAAUCCAGUAAGUUUGGGGGACAUGUGUUAAAAUAAACAGAAGUGCACUGAUGGCAAGACAGAGCAAAGACAGCCUCCGAACAAGAGGCUUACUGACACCAUGUCCUAGCUUACUUUCUUUUUUCUUCCAGCAUAAGCCUGCAUUUCGGCUUUUUGUGUUUUAUUUCUGGCAGGCUGCAGGAUUGGAAUGUUGAAGAAGUGCAGUCCCCCAACCCCCCACUCCCCAUGUACAUCUCACUGGGUAUAUUGCUCUUUAAAUCUGAGAAUGCUGGGAAUUAUUUGGCCAGUGAAAUGCAGGUCUGUAGGAAAUCCCUGAGAAAGCUGACACACAGGCAUUCCUUCUAUCUGUCUGUCCUCUGUCCCAGUCUGUGGCAAAUGCCAUCCCCUGCCUCCUAUGCCAGAACAUUCUCUUCCAAUUUUCUGCCCCUGCUGUUGCCCAAUAGCUGCCAUCAACAGCUGGACAGUGUUGAUGUGGCCAAGGUUUUACUCCCAGCACAUUACCCUACCCCUUGUCACGCUCUAUGUCUUCCCAGUCCAAGCCGACAUAAAUUGAUUGGAUUAAACCCUGUCAUUAACAGGCUGGAAAAGCAGCUCAGUAUGUUUGUCUCUCUCCCCAAAGUGAGGCUUCUGGGCCACAGCUCUCCCCCUCUCUUUUCCAUUCCCACAGUUCUGCCAACACAUAACAUCAUUAUGCCCAGUACACCCUUCCUUUUGGCUGCCCGUAUUAGGGAGAGGCUAACAUCAGUGGACACUAGCUGAGCCUCGAGUGGAUAAGUGUUCCACUGGUCUGGACUUUGCUCAGGUUAUAAUUGUUUCCAUGAGGUGGAAUGGUUGUUUACGUUGCGGAUGCCUCCUGUCAGGUUAGUUUACCCAUCUGUGUCAAGCACUACACUUCUAACCAGAGUUUAUUGGAACAAUAUACAGCAGGUUAACAGAACACUUGUGUCCCUUUUCUAGUAAAUGCCCCGUUUUAUUCUCCACACAUUUGUUCCUGGAAGCUGCUGAGUGUAACUUUAUGUCAUUUUGCUUUUGACCCACUGAUGUUACGUUACACUAAGACUGAACAGCUAUCGCUAACGGAGAGGGGUGAGGUGGGGGGUAUCACUGAUUCCAGUGGCGGGCUGUGCAUUUCACACCUAGGCUUUCAGUGAUGUCCUACUUAGUCCGACUUCAAUAAAUACCUCUCAUAAUAUCAUAAUUUAGGACACCACGUGACCACGGCUGGAGAAAUUGUAUACAGAAACACACUAUAAGCAAUACUGGGCAUUGCAUCAUCUCAAUUGUGUCCAAAACGGGCUAUUUUCGGACGCAUUAAAAAAAAUCAAUAAAUCCGCAAGUAAAUAAAUAAAAUAAAUAAAAUGUUUGUACUCACUAAAACAGCUGUCCUCCAAAACAGUUAUUUUAACACAAAAUCCAUUCUCCCUUCUUUCCUCAAGAAGACCUCAAUGACUUGGUUGUACAAUUUAUCUGUGCGCUUCAGUUCCAACAAUAAAUCCCUUUCGCACCUGUUCGUUGAGCUGUGCAUCCACUCGGGUGCCCCAAAAAGUUUUAGAAGCACCACAGCUUGCAAGUGUCCAGUCGUGCUUUGGUGUCUCAUUGCUGCAGUAAUUAAGCAAUUUAAGUUCAAUUUAACUUCUUGUUGUUUUAACGCGGUAAGCGAGUAUCCAAUUACAGGACGCAUACAUGUCAUGUUCAACGUGAGGCUAGCUAGAAGGCCUACUGUCAACAACUCCUGAUCUGAUUGGCUAUCGUAACUGUCUAUCAACUGUAUGUGCCCGUUUGCUUCCAUUGCAGACACCCGCAUUGUUGGUUCUGAACACCAUAGGCAGAUUUCAUACAGCCUGGCAACAGCUAGCUGAAUUCUGAUUGGAUAAAAGCUCUAACCUAAAAACAACAACACUGGAAGGAGCCUGAUAUGACAUGAAGAGAAUAUGAAGAAUAUGAAGUGUGUUAUGUAUUUAGGAAAAGUACAUUAAAAAUGAAAUGAACUUUUAUCAACUUAUGAUCAUGAUUUAUGUUAGGCUAGCAGAGAAGGCCUUGCUGGCCCUGACGGCCCAAAACCGACUGAUUCAUACUCCCAAAAUAUGUUGCACUUAACUUUUUUAAAUCGCGGUACAUCUGCAGCACUGAAACCCAGGGUGAUGAUGUCAUACAGGUGGGGUUGUGUGACAUCCUGGAGAAGCAGAGGAAUUCACCAGUUUCACAUCACAUCUGUUGUCCCUUACACACACCCAGCUGAACACACUGGUCACCACUGCUGUAUGUGUGUAGUAAGUUGAAUAUAAAGCAGCUCACUCACUGGUUGCAAAUGGAGGACCAAAAUAAACCUGGAACUCUUCUGCUGGUUUUGGAAGUAACCCCCAGUGACUGUGUGUCUAUGGGAAAAUAAGACUAAUUCUGCAUUUCAAUUGUCAUCAUUUUCUUGAAAUGUUCUGUUCAAUAGAAAACAGAAAUUAGAAUCACAUUUUUUAAGGGCAAAAACUCUGACACAAGCCUGGUUUUAACCUGUAGGCUGCUUCCUAUUGGGUCAUAUAUUUUACUCUCUCUAAAACUGACCUCAUGUUUAAUUGCAGUCAACCUAAAGUUGCUGAUACUUCAAACAACGGUUGACAGUAAUGUUGACGUGCUUUAAAAAUCAACUAAAUCAAGUACACCGUUGCAUGUAAACGUGAGUCGAGUUAAUCAAUACAUUUGUAUGGAGCUGUGUCUUACAGAAGCAGAGAAUUCCGUGCCUUCAUUUAUGGACAGAUUGCCUAAAAAACUUAAACUAACAGACAAAGGGCUGAAUCUCUAACAUCCUCGAAAAAGUGGUGUAUCAAUUACUAAUUACUAAAUCUUCUUUUGUGAUUUACUUGCUGUAUUUGUAAGGUUUUUAGGUUAUGGUGAAAACUCUAGAAACCCAGAAUGUGACUCUUGUCUGUUUUUUUUUUCCUUUGCUUGUUUGGUUUUGUAGGAGCUUAGAGAAUCAGUCCUAUAGGGAACAAAUCGAGCUGAAGGUGAAAGAGUUGGACCAGGCCCGGUCGCUUCAGUAGUACAAAGAUGGACUGGUAACUGCUCCCGUACAGGCGGUAGCCAAAGGCCAUGCCACAGCCAGCACCUAUGACAAGCCGGAUUUUUCAGAGGAACCCACCAGCACUGCAAACACUUUUCAGCCUGGCUCUUGGAAGCCCAAUUCCAAGAAAUACGUUUGUGCUGUGAAAUACAAUACAAUCUAAUAGACCAGCCCUACA